UUGAGAGCGGCGGACGGGUGAGUAAUGCCUAGGAAUCUGCCUGGUAGUGGGGGAUAACGUUCGGAAACGGACGCUAAUACCGCAUACGUCCUACGGGAGAAAGCAGGGGACCUUCGGGCCUUGCGCUAUCAGAUGAGCCUAGGUCGGAUUAGCUAGUUGGUGAGGUAAUGGCUCACCAAGGCGACGAUCCGUAACUGGUCUGAGAGGAUGAUCAGUCACACUGGAACUGAGACACGGUCCAGACUCCUACGGGAGGCAGCAGUGGGGAAUAUUGGACAAUGGGCGAAAGCCUGAUCCAGCCAUGCCGCGUGUGUGAAGAAGGUCUUCGGAUUGUAAAGCACUUUAAGUUGGGAGGAAGGGCAGUUACCUAAUACGUGAUUGUUUUGACGUUACCGACAGAAUAAGCACCGGCUAACUCUGUGCCAGCAGCCGCGGUAAUACAGAGGGUGCAAGCGUUAAUCGGAAUUACUGGGCGUAAAGCGCGCGUAGGUGGUUUGUUAAGUUGGAUGUGAAAUCCCCGGGCUCAACCUGGGAACUGCAUUCAAAACUGACUGACUAGAGUAUGGUAGAGGGUGGUGGAAUUUCCUGUGUAGCGGUGAAAUGCGUAGAUAUAGGAAGGAACACCAGUGGCGAAGGCGACCACCUGG
RNAcentral lists this ribosomal RNA (647 nucleotides) under Pseudomonas sp. EECC-579. RNAcentral describes it as "bacterial SSU rRNA". It matches the Rfam family "Bacterial small subunit ribosomal RNA", at positions 89 to 732 of the family's 1533-position model. Lineage: Bacteria; Pseudomonadati; Pseudomonadota; Gammaproteobacteria; Pseudomonadales; Pseudomonadaceae. The record is from RNAcentral.